AACUAAUUAUUAUAUAUAAAAUAAACUAUAUUAUUUAACAUAUUAAUAUGUUCAUACAAUUAAUUAUUCAUAUAUUAAAAAAAAUUUCAACACUAAAUUAAAAUACGACUAAAAUGUUUAUUAUAUUACUAAAAAAGAAACAAUGUGAAUAUUAUUUUUUUUUACUUUCAUGGUUUGUCAUACUCCCUUGAUCAUCAUAAAUCUGACAAGAUUUGCUUGCUUCAUAUUUUCACCAACGAAUAAUUCCUCUGCGUCAUAUCUUACGAUAUCAUCUAACUCUUCCUUCCUGCGUCAAACCUUAGGAUAUCUCAUCCAACUCUUCCUAUUCACAAUAAAUUAUUAAUAGUUACUAUCAAAACUUCAUAAAUACUAAUUUUUAAUACACAUGUAGAAUGAUAUUUGUCUGUGAUAUUGUAUUAUAUUAUUUAGUUAUUACUAAUAUAAUUUAUUGAUAAUUAAAUAUUAUAUAAUAAAUAUUACUUUUUUUUUUAAUUUUAUUUAAUAAAUUUUAUAAUAGCAUUUGAAUUAUUUACAUUAUUUAACAUUUUUUCAAUGUUAAUAAAAAAAUAUAUUUGAAACUUUAAAUAAAAUUUAAAAAUUAAUUAAAAAACUAAAUUUAUAUUGUUUUAAAUAUGAGAGAUUAAAUUAAUUUAAAAUUAAAAAAAUAAUAAUUUCAAUUUUACAAUUAAGAAACCAAAAUUAUGUUUAACUUAAUUUAAUAUAUUAUUUCUAACACUUUGCACAAUGUUGCAUGUUUUAAAACAGGUAGAUCUGAGGAGCAAUGUAAUUUUUUAUGCUAACCUGUAAUGUUUUUGUUGUGAAAGAUAAAAUCCUUUAUUUGAUUAGCAACCGCCAUUGAUGUUUUUGAUGCAUGCAUUUGUAUCUCAUCUUACCUGAUAGCAAAAUAACAGAAGAUUACAUAAUAAGAAAUAUAAUUUGUGAAUAAGAUCUUUCUGCCACAGCUCAUUAUAUAAACUAAAACAAUAUCUAAAAAAAUUUAAGUUCUAAAUAGAUGAAGGGAUUUGUUAAUGUAGUUAGAUAUAAAUGUUAAAAAAAAUUGUUAAAAAUAAACAUAAUACUUACUACUAAAUGAAAAAACAAAAUCUUAAAAGUGGUUAUGUAUGUAAAAAUAUAUUCAGAAUAUAUAAAUACAUAAACUAGAUCCAUGUUUUUCAAACAGAUACCAGUAACAUACUAUGAGAUAAGUAAAUUAUGGUUUAAUAUAAAUGUAACAUUUUUUCUAAUUAUCUUAAAGAAAAAAAACAUUCUCGUAUUUUAUGAGAGCUUACCGUCUGACAUAGAAGCUUUCAGUUUUUAAGGCUUUCAACCAAAAUAUGAGAGAAAAAGAAGAAAGAUUGAGAAAAAGGAAAGACAGAGAGAAGCGGAGGGAAUGAGACAU
Molecule: long non-coding RNA, 1399 nt
Filed under: Vigna radiata
Lineage: Eukaryota; Viridiplantae; Streptophyta; Magnoliopsida; Fabales; Fabaceae
Description: long non-coding RNA (VRAD_LNC010322)
Source: RNAcentral